UGCCGCGUGAGUGAUGAAGGUCUUCGGAUCGUAAAGCUCUGUGGGAAGGGACGAAAAAGCCUAACCUAAUACGUUAGGUCUUGACGUACCUUCUUAGCAAGCACCGGCUAACUCCGUGCCAGCAGCCGCGGUAAUACGGAGGGUGCAAACGUUGCUCGGAAUUAUUGGGCGUAAAGCGUGCGCAGGCGGUUAUGUAAGACAGAGGUGAAAUCCCCGGGCUCAACCUGGGAACUGCCUUUGUGACUGCAUAGCUGGAGUGCGGCAGAGGGGGAUGGAAUUCCGCGUGUAGCAGUGAAAUGCGUAGAUAUGCGGAGGAACACCGAUGGCGAAGGCAAUCCCCUGGGCCUGCACUGACGCUCAUGCACGAAAGCGUGGGGAGCAAACAGGAUUAGAUACCCUGGUAGUCCACGCCCUAAACGAUGUCAACUGGUUGUUGGGUCUUCACUGACUCAGUAACGAAGCUAACGCGUGAAGUUGACCGCCUGGGGAGUACGGCCGCAAGGUUAAAAACUCAAAGGAAUUGACGGG
RNAcentral lists this ribosomal RNA (528 nucleotides) under uncultured bacterium. Its description in RNAcentral is "bacterial SSU rRNA". It matches the Rfam family "Bacterial small subunit ribosomal RNA", at positions 395 to 917 of the family's 1533-position model. The record is from RNAcentral.